This 182-nucleotide ribosomal RNA is filed under the name Serratia sp. M24T3. Its description in RNAcentral is "partial 16S ribosomal RNA". It matches the Rfam family "Bacterial small subunit ribosomal RNA", at positions 1 to 177 of the family's 1533-position model. The record is from RNAcentral. Lineage: Bacteria; Pseudomonadati; Pseudomonadota; Gammaproteobacteria; Enterobacterales; Yersiniaceae.
AAUUGAAGAGUUUGAUCAUGGCUCAGAUUGAACGCUGGCGGCAGGCCUAACACAUGCAAGUCGAGCGGUAGCACGGGAGAGCUUGCUCUCUGGGUGACGAGCGGCGGACGGGUGAGUAAUGUCUGGGAAACUGCCUGAUGGAGGGGGAUAACUACUGGAAACGGUAGCUAAUACCGCAUGAC